This 74-nucleotide transfer RNA is filed under the name Pseudocercospora pini-densiflorae CBS 125139. RNAcentral describes it as "tRNA-Asn (GTT) (tRNA-Asn-GTT-4-1)". It matches the Rfam family "tRNA". From Rfam's summary of the family: Transfer RNA (tRNA) molecules are approximately 80 nucleotides in length. Their secondary structure includes four short double-helical elements and three loops (D, anti-codon, and T loops). Further hydrogen bonds mediate the characteristic L-shaped molecular structure. tRNAs have two regions of fundamental functional importance: the anti-codon, which is responsible for specific mRNA codon recognition, and the 3' end, to which the tRNAs corresponding amino acid is attached (by aminoacyl-tRNA synthetases). tRNAs cope with the degeneracy of the genetic code in two manners: having more than one tRNA (with a specific anti-codon) for a particular amino acid; and 'wobble' base-pairing, i.e. permitting non-standard base-pairing at the 3rd anti-codon position. Lineage: Eukaryota; Fungi; Ascomycota; Dothideomycetes; Mycosphaerellales; Mycosphaerellaceae. The record is from RNAcentral.
GGGGCUUUAGUUCAAUUGGUAGAACAGUUGGUGUGUUGAUCCAUCAGAUCCGGGUUCGAUUCUCGGAAGCUCCA